GCUUCCGUAGCUCAAUUGGUUAAGAGCAACGCACGGAUUGCGGAGGUUGCGGGUUCAAGUCCUGCCGGAAGCG
This is a non-coding RNA of Cydia strobilella, 73 nucleotides long. NCBI's taxonomy places the organism in Eukaryota, Metazoa, Arthropoda, Insecta, Lepidoptera, Tortricidae. The record is from the annotation of a RefSeq genome assembly.